RNAcentral lists this ribosomal RNA (440 nucleotides) under uncultured bacterium. RNAcentral's name for it is "bacterial SSU rRNA". It matches the Rfam family "Bacterial small subunit ribosomal RNA", at positions 338 to 795 of the family's 1533-position model. The record is from RNAcentral.
CCUACUUUUUUCAGCAGUGGGGAAUAUUGCACAAUGGGGGAAACCCUGAUGCAGCAACUCCUCGUGAUCUAAUAAUUCCUUCUUUUCUUAAAUCUCUUUCCUAAUUUAAUUAACAUUACUUUACCUUAUUAUUAAUCCCCUUCUAACUACUUUCCAUCAUCCUCUUUAAUACGUAGUUUUCUAUCGUUAUCCUUAAUCACUUGUCUUAAAGGGUGAGUAGGCGGACGAUUAAGCCAUGGGUGAAAGGCUAAGGAUCAACCGUAGUAAGCCCUUGGAACUGAUUGGAUUGAGUGCAGGAGAGGAGAGUGGAAUUAAUAGUGUAGAGGUGAAAUGAGUAGAUAUUAGGAGGAAAACAAGUGGAGAAGGAGAAUAUAUGGAAUGUAAAUGAAGAUGAGGAACGAAAGAGUGGGGAGCAAACAGGAUUAGAUAACAUAGUAGUC